Myodes glareolus (Bank vole) is the source of this 827-nucleotide long non-coding RNA. RefSeq lists it as uncharacterized. The record is from RefSeq and is a predicted model, not a curated record. Lineage: Eukaryota; Metazoa; Chordata; Mammalia; Rodentia; Cricetidae.
GUGCCUCAUCUGUUCCAAGGCACCAUACCAUGGCAACGCACUGCUUCGGUUUAAAACACAGACUUAAAAACACGGUCAAAUAUUUUAAGUGAAUUCAUGAUAAAUUUUUAAAGGGACUAGAAAUACCCCUGUCUUUUCCAUACACAGUGCUUCUUGAAUUUUCUAGCUUUGGGCUAAGUCCUAGGUAGAAGCUGAGAACUCAGCAACUUCAGGGAAAAACUGUGAAUCUUAACGCUGUCAAGUUCAAUAGAACGAACAUGAAGCCCUGUUUCUAUACUUCCAAAUAUGUCAGCACAUACUAUUUCAAAAUUCAACACAUGAAAGACAGAAAGAGAACUGCAGUUCCUGUCUUCUGCCCUCCAGAGAGACGACAGCUGCUCGGAUUCACCAUCUACUGUGUCUAGCACCUCACCGACCCACGCGGGCCUCACCUCACAGUCCAAGUGGCUGGCUUCUACUCUUACCUUAGUUCUACUGAAGAAACUGAGGCACAACUGAGGCAGAGUCAUGCUGCUGAUAAAACCUGGAGCUAGAGAAUGUACCGUGCAGCUACACGGUUCUGUCGGCGGAUGUGCGGUCCUGCAGGAAGCGGUCCAGCCUAAUUAGUGGUCAAAGGCAACCACCCUGGAGUCUGGUGCCAGACAGGUCACCUAGCCUCAGCUUUCUGAGCCCAGAAGAGGAAACGGCUCACUGCCGGGGGAUAUGUGGAAACCACUAACAAUGUGACCGCUGACCUGACGAUUGCAAGAUGAAAUCUGCAAGGGGUAGCUGUGCUGGCAGCACACGCCAGCAAAACAAAUAAAUAAAUAAAAAGCCUUGUUCAGUUC